UACGUAGGGGGCCAGCGUUGUUCGGAGUUACUGGGCGUAAAGGGUGUGUAGGCGGUCCCCUAAGUUUGGUGUGAAAUCUCCCGGCUCAACUGGGAGGGUGCGCCGAAUACUGAAGGACUAGAGUACGGGAGAGGAGAGUGGAAUUCCUGGUGUAGCGGUGAAAUGCGUAGAUAUCAGGAGGAACACCGGUGGUGUAGACGGCUCUCUGGACCGUAACUGACGCUGAGACACGAAAGCGUGGGUAGCAAACAGG
RNAcentral lists this ribosomal RNA (253 nucleotides) under uncultured bacterium. Its description in RNAcentral is "partial 16S ribosomal RNA". It matches the Rfam family "Bacterial small subunit ribosomal RNA", at positions 524 to 776 of the family's 1533-position model. The record is from RNAcentral.